UACAGAGGGUGCGAGCGUUGUUCGGAAUUACUGGGCGUAAAGCGCACGUAGGCGGAUCGAUCAGUCAGGGGUGAAAUCCCAGGGCUCAACCCUGGAACUGCCUUUGAUACUGUCGAUCUGGAGUAUGGAAGAGGUGAGUGGAAUUCCGAGUGUAGAGGUGAAAUUCGUAGAUAUUCGGAGGAACACCAGUGGCGAAGGCGGCUCACUGGUCCAUUACUGACGCUGAGGUGCGAAAGCGUGGGGAGCAAACAGG
Molecule: ribosomal RNA, 253 nt
Filed under: uncultured bacterium
Lineage: Bacteria
Description: partial 16S ribosomal RNA
Rfam family: Bacterial small subunit ribosomal RNA
Source: RNAcentral